CAGGAUUCCCCUAGUAACUGCGAGUGAAGCGGGAAAAGCUCAAAUUUAAAAUCUGGCAGUCUUUGGCUGUCCGAGUUGUAAUCUAGAGAAGUAUUAUCCGCGCUGGACCGUGUACAAGUCUCCUGGAAUGGAGCGUCAUAGAGGGUGAGAAUCCCGUCUUUGACACGGACUGCCAGGGCUUUGUGAUGUGCUCUCAAAGAGUCGAGUUGUUUGGGAAUGCAGCUCAAAAUGGGUGGUAAAUUCCAUCUAAAGCUAAAUAUUGGCGAGAGACCGAUAGCGAACAAGUACCGUGAGGGAAAGAUGAAAAGAACUUUGGAAAGAGAGUUAAACAGUACGUGAAAUUGCUGAAAGGGAAACGCUUGAAGUCAGUCGCAUUGGCCAGGGAUCAACCUUGCUUUUUUGCUUGGCUUACUUUCUGGUUGAUGGGUCAGCAUCAAUUUUGACUGGUAGAAAAAGUUCAAGGGAAUGUGGCAUCUUCGGAUGUGUUAUAGCCUUUGUCCACAUAUAUCAGUUGGGAUUGAGGAACUCAGCACGCCGCAAGGCCGGGUUUUUAACCACGUACGUGCUUAGGAUGCUGGCAUAAUGGCUUUAAUCGACCCGUCUUGAAACACGGACCAAGGAGUCUAACAUGCCUGCGAGUGUUUGGGUGAAAAACCCGAGCGCGUAAUGAAAGUGAAAGUUGAGAUCCCUGUCAUGGGGAGCAUUGACGCCCGGAUCUGACCUUUUGUGACGAUUCUGCGGUAGAGCAUGUAUGUUGGGACCCGAAAGAUGGUGAACUAUGCCUGAAUAGGGUGAAGCCAGAGGAAACUCUGGUGGAGGCUCGUAGCGAUUCUGACGUGCAAAUCGAUCGUCAAAUUUGGGUAUAGGGGCGAAAGACUAAUC
Molecule: ribosomal RNA, 882 nt
Filed under: Laccaria cf. laccata B KH-2011
Lineage: Eukaryota; Fungi; Basidiomycota; Agaricomycetes; Agaricales; Hydnangiaceae
Description: LSU rRNA
Rfam family: Eukaryotic large subunit ribosomal RNA
Source: RNAcentral